Molecule: transfer RNA, 67 nt
Filed under: Hydroides elegans (calcareous tube worm)
Lineage: Eukaryota; Metazoa; Annelida; Polychaeta; Sabellida; Serpulidae
Description: tRNA-Phe
Source: RNAcentral
GGGUUGGUGGUCUAUAAAGGAUGUUUCGUUGAAGCCGAAGAGGAGAGGACAAUUUCUUCCCGACUCA